This 90-nucleotide transfer RNA is filed under the name Chloroflexota bacterium. RNAcentral describes it as "Chloroflexi bacterium (hot springs metagenome) tRNA-Ser". It matches the Rfam family "tRNA". Rfam says of the family: Transfer RNA (tRNA) molecules are approximately 80 nucleotides in length. The record is from RNAcentral. RNAcentral also lists the same sequence under 1 other name. Lineage: Bacteria; Bacillati; Chloroflexota.
GGGGGGGUGCCAGAGUGGUCGAAUGGGGCCGCCUGCUAAGCGGUUAUCCGGCUUAUACCCGGAUCGCAGGUUCGAAUCCUGUCCCUCCCG